UACGUAGGGCGCAAGCGUUGUCCGGAAUUAUUGGGCGUAAAGAGCUCGUAGGCGGCUUGUCACGUCGGGUGUGAAAGCCCGGGGCUUAACCCCGGGUCUGCAUUCGAUACGGGCUGGCUAGAGUGUGGUAGGGGAGAUCGGAAUUCCUGGUGUAGCGGUGAAAUGCGCAGAUAUCAGGAGGAACACCGGUGGCGAAGGCGGAUCUCUGGGCCAUUACUGACGCUGAGGAGCGAAAGCGUGGGGAGCGAACAGG
This 253-nucleotide ribosomal RNA is filed under the name uncultured bacterium. Its description in RNAcentral is "partial 16S ribosomal RNA". It matches the Rfam family "Bacterial small subunit ribosomal RNA", at positions 524 to 776 of the family's 1533-position model. RNAcentral also lists the same sequence under 1 other name. The record is from RNAcentral.